GAUGAACGCUGGCGGCGUGCCUAAUACAUGCAAGUCGAGCGAACGGACGAGAAGCUUUCUUCUCUGAUGUUAGCGGCGGACGGGUGAGUAACACGUGGAUAACCUACCUAUAAGACUGGGAUAACUUCGGGAAACCGGAGCUAAUACCGGAUGAUAUUUUGAACCGCAUGGUUCAAAAGUGAAAGACGGUCUUGCUGUCACUUAUAGAUGGAUCCGCGCUGCAUUAGCUAGUUGGUAAGGUAACGGCUUAACAAGGCAACGAUGCAUAGCCGACCUGAGAGGGUGAUCGGCCAGACUGGAACUGAGAAAGGGUCCAGACUCCUACGGGAGGCAGCAGUAGGGAAUCUUCCGCAAUGGGCGAAAGCCUGACGGAGCAAAGCCGCGUGAGUGAUGAAGGUCUUCGGAUCGUAAAACUCUGUUAGUAGGGAAGAACAUAUGUGUAAGUAACUGUGCACAUCUUGACGGUACCUAAUCAGAAAGCCACGGCUAACUACGUG
Molecule: ribosomal RNA, 497 nt
Filed under: uncultured bacterium
Lineage: Bacteria
Description: partial 16S ribosomal RNA
Rfam family: Bacterial small subunit ribosomal RNA
Source: RNAcentral